GGGGGCGCACUGGUUUCGACCGGUUUGCGUCGGGCCUGGGUGGCGUGCCGGGGAUCUCGAGUCACCCCGCUAAACCCUCUCGGGAAACGGCAUAACCUGCCAAUGAUUACGCUCUCGCUGCUUAGUCAAUAAGCAGCCGUCCUCCACGGAGUGCCCGCGGCCGUGGAACGACGCCACUUGCGGGCUGGUCGACAAGGCUCUCCGUCGGGCUGCGUCGACGAGACCUCACGACGGCGGCCUCGACGCAGCCUGUCCGCGGGCGUCGACGGGGCGGCACAAACCACGGACUACGCACGUAGAAGCCUGGACUUGGUUCAUUCCGGAACGCGGGUUCGACUCCCGCCGCCUCCACCA
This 354-nucleotide transfer-messenger RNA is filed under the name Planctomycetota. RNAcentral's name for it is "F1-120-MAGs118 sp020853575 Standard tmRNA". It matches the Rfam family "transfer-messenger RNA". Rfam says of the family: Bacterial tmRNA, also known as 10Sa RNA or SsrA, is named for its dual tRNA and mRNA-like properties. RNAcentral also lists the same sequence under 1 other name. The record is from RNAcentral. Lineage: Bacteria; Pseudomonadati.